Polistes dominula (European paper wasp) is the source of this 366-nucleotide long non-coding RNA. The record is from RefSeq and is a predicted model, not a curated record. Lineage: Eukaryota; Metazoa; Arthropoda; Insecta; Hymenoptera; Vespidae.
AUUAAUUCUAUAUAAAAUACAUGGUAAACAAACUGCUUGUCUCCACAAGGAAGCUGGAAAUGGAUGAAUUACGCAUAAUUCAGGUACUUCGGCAGGAAAUGUAUCUUGAUUAUCAUAAAUACAAUCCAAAAAAUCCCAAUCAAUAUUAAUAUCGGAAUUUUUACGUUCAGCAGCUAUAAUUACAUAAAUUUAUUUAUCAUUUUGAACAGAUAAAUGUAAAUUUGACUUUUAAAAUUGAUGAUAAUGCAAGCCGAAUUGACAUAUUUUGAUUUAUAAGUUAAAACUAUAGUCUUCUUAGAUAAUUCUAAGUUAACGUGAACUUCACCGGAUCUUGUAUAAAUAGGAAAUGGGCAUAACUGAAAUAAG